Molecule: transfer RNA, 71 nt
Filed under: Moneuplotes crassus
Lineage: Eukaryota; Ciliophora; Spirotrichea; Euplotida; Euplotidae
Also listed under: 2 other names
Description: tRNA-Trp
Rfam family: tRNA
About the family: Transfer RNA (tRNA) molecules are approximately 80 nucleotides in length. Their secondary structure includes four short double-helical elements and three loops (D, anti-codon, and T loops).
Source: RNAcentral
AGGAGUAUAGUUUAGUGGUAAAACUUCGGUCUUCAAAACCGACAUCGGGAGUUCGAUCCUCUCUACUCUUG